CAGGAUGAACGCUAGCUACAGGCUUAACACAUGCAAGUCGAGGGGAAACGAUAGAGAAAGCUUGCUUUUUCAGGCGUCGACCGGCGCACGGGUGAGUAACACGUAUCCAACCUGCCGUCUACUCUUGGACAGCCUUCUGAAACGGAAGAUUUAAUACCAAGAUGGCAUCAUGAGUCCGCAUGUUCACAUGAUUAAAGGUAUUCCGGUAGACGAUGGGGAUGCGUUCCAUUAGAUAGUAGGCGGGGUAACGGCCCACCUAGUCUUCGAUGGAUAGGGGUUCUGAGAGGAAGGUCCCCCACAUUGGAACUGAGACACGGUCCAAACUCCUACGGGAGGCAGCAGUGAGGAAUUAUUGGUCAAUGGACGAGAGUCUGAACCAGCCAAGUAGCGUGCAGGAUGACGGCCCUAUGGGUUGUAAACUGCUUUUAUAAGGGAAUAAAGUGAGUCUCGUGAGACUUUUUGCAUGUACCUUAUGAAUAAGGACCGGCUAAUUCCGUG
RNAcentral lists this ribosomal RNA (498 nucleotides) under uncultured bacterium. RNAcentral describes it as "bacterial SSU rRNA". It matches the Rfam family "Bacterial small subunit ribosomal RNA", at positions 25 to 507 of the family's 1533-position model. The record is from RNAcentral.